Molecule: ribosomal RNA, 484 nt
Filed under: uncultured bacterium
Lineage: Bacteria
Description: bacterial SSU rRNA
Rfam family: Bacterial small subunit ribosomal RNA
Source: RNAcentral
GAGAUUUUCGCAAUGCCCGAAAGGGUGACGAAGCGACGCCGCGUGCGGGAAGAAGGCCUUCGGGUUGUAAACCGCUGUCGGGAGUUAAGAAAUGUAAGGAUGUUAAUAGCAUCUUUGCUUGACUAAGGCUCCGGAGGAAGCCACGGCUAACUCCGUGCCAGCAGCCGCGGUAAUACAGAGGCGGCAAGCGUUGUUCGGAAUUAUUGGGCGUAAAGAGCACGUAGGCGGCUAUGUAAGUCGGUUGUGAAAGCCUUCCGCUCAACGGGAGAACAGCAUCCGAUACUGCAUGGCUUGAGUGCGGGAGGGGAGAGUGGAACUUCUGGUGGAGCGGUGAAAUGCGUAGAUAUCAGAAGGAACGCCGGCGGCGAAAGCGGCUCUCUGGCCCAUAACUGACGCUGAGUGUGCGAAAGCUAGGGGAGCAAACGGGAUUAGAUACCCCGGUAGUCCUAGCCGUAAACGAUGGGCACUAAGUAGAGGGGUUUUA